CAUACAUUGCAUAAGCCUGCCACAACGCCAAUGUACCCCAUCUUUGGCAGGUCCUACUCUGUCUGCUAAAUGAGCUUCUCACUUGGGGAAAUCCUUCCAUCUCGAGGUCUCUGCAGUACAAUGCUUAAAUAGGAUCCUGAGAUGAGGCACCUGUAACAGGGAGGGGUGCAAAACCCAUGGUUCGUUUAGCAUGUCACAAUGGUGGGCCAUGUAAUUACAUUGAGGAACAAGCGGC
Molecule: non-coding RNA, 235 nt
Organism: Pelobates cultripes (western spadefoot toad)
Lineage: Eukaryota; Metazoa; Chordata; Amphibia; Anura; Pelobatidae
Source: the annotation of a GenBank genome assembly